This 1972-nucleotide long non-coding RNA is filed under the name Mus musculus (house mouse). RNAcentral's name for it is "predicted gene, 32442". Lineage: Eukaryota; Metazoa; Chordata; Mammalia; Rodentia; Muridae. The record is from RNAcentral.
GUCCCCGGCAGCAUGGUGAGAGGCCAGAAAAGCUGAUUUCUUUCCCUUAUCUAUCCUGGGAGGCUCAGAGAGCAAGAUCAGCCUUCCAGAGCGGCACCACGCUGGGCAGUGUGUGGGACUGCAGGAGUCAGCAGAGAUGUGUGUAUGUGUGAUGGAAUCCAGUUCCUCAGAUGUGCAAGGGAAAUGCUCUCCCACCAAACCACACCCCUGCCUUCAACACUAAUGCAGAGCUGUGUGUCCCUUCCAAGAGCUCAUUGCUGCUUUCCACAAAGCUGUCUACAAGGAAGCAUAUAAAAGAGACAGGGUCUCACUAAAUAGUUCUGGUUGUCCCUGUACCCACUAUGUAUAUCAGAAUGACUUCAAACUCACAGAGAUCCACCUGCUUCUGUCUCCUAAAAGGUAAAGCAGGUCUAUGCCUGCUUAUGGAGUGGUCUCAAGAAGCAAGAAGACUUCCUUCACAGGAUGUGAAGUUGUGCUGAUUCUGACACCUUGAUAGAAGUUAUGGUGGCCUGAGAAGAGGGAACCUUGAUUGAGAAUAAGACCUCCUAUCAGAUUGGUCUAUAGACAAGCCCAUGGGACAUUUUCUUGAGUCAUAAUUGAGGUAGAAGUGCUCUGAUAACUGUGGGCAGUGUCACCAUUGGGCAAGUGGUCAUGGGUUGUGAAGGUAAACUGAAAAAGCUAUGGGGUGAGGGGUGCAAAUCAGUAAGUGAAAUUCUUCCAUGGCCUCUGUUUCAGUUCAUGCUUCUAGGUCCCUGCUUUGAGCUCCCUGUCUUCCCUCUGUGAUGAAUUGCUACCUAGAUACAUGAACUGAAAGAAGCCCUUUCCUUUGCCAAUUAGAUUUUGGUCUUUAUUUCUUUUCAGAGCAACAGGCACCAAAAACGAUAGAAGUAAUGUUAGUAUAGCUUUGGUUUUCUUCAACUGACCUGGAAAAGGAAAACAUAAAGAGCUGAAGGUUGUGUUUGUUCAGUUCUCACAUAUAAACUGAGCGGUGGACUUACUCUUAAACAGCUACCUUCCUGAAAGAAUACAAAGGUAUGGAAGGGGCUUUGUGGGGAGGGAAACAGAUGAGAACAAACUGAUGAAACCCAUUACUCUGUUUACAAACUUAAGAAAUUCAUUAAAAUAUGAAAUCAACUAAAUACAGUCGAGAAAACCAGUAUGAAGGUACUCAUCUGAGUCACUUUUAAAAUUUCUUUGAUUAUUUAGCCCUGGCCUAAAGACAGAGAACAAGGGUCCACAUUUUUAUUGCUUUAGCCAUAUAGCUUAAUUUGCUGGCAGAAACACAAGUUUGCCUUGGAAUAGUAGAUAUAUAUAGUUUUACGACAUCCUACCUCUUAUAUCCUAUAUGAUUAUGAGCUCUAUGGACAGACAGCAAGAGACGAGGUUUCCCUAUAGAGUUUCCUAAACUGACUGGCUGAAGCCCCUGCUUCUCUAUUUCUCAUCAGUUCCCAGCCUGCUGGGGCUUGGGACCCAGCCUUUCAAUUUUUCAAGAAUAGGAAAACAUUUGUUGCCUGUUGCAAGCUUUGAUUUUAUUGAACAGAACAAAACAAGAGUUAGUGUGAGCCAAUGGCCAGGGUAGCCAAGUCUCUAGAGACACAUAUGUUUCUGGGAGAAGGUAGCUGCUCUAGGAAGCAGUGAGUUCACACAGCAUCUAGAGUGGAUGGAACAUGGGGAAAAAGAUAAGCAGAUGAAUAGGGAGUGUGAUAGUUUGAAUGAGAGUGGCCCACAUAGGGUUAUGCACUUGAAUACUUGGUCCCAAGUUGGAGGAAUUAUUUUGGAAGUAUUAACAGGUGUGGCAUUCAGAAGCCCACUCUAUUCCUAGUUAGCUCUCUCUGCUUCAGUUUUGUGGAUCAAGAUGUAAGCUCUUGGCUUCUGCUCUAGGGCUGUGUAUGCCUGUGGGUUUCUAUGCUCCCUACCAUAGUGGUCAUGGACUCACCUUCUAAAACUGUAAGCUCCAAUAAACUCUACUUCU